Molecule: ribosomal RNA, 389 nt
Filed under: Pycnococcaceae sp.
Lineage: Eukaryota; Viridiplantae; Chlorophyta; Pseudoscourfieldiophyceae; Pseudoscourfieldiales; Pycnococcaceae
Description: partial small subunit ribosomal RNA
Rfam family: Eukaryotic small subunit ribosomal RNA
Source: RNAcentral
AUUCCAGCUCCAAUAGCGUAUAUUUAAGUUGUUGCGGUUAAAAAGCUCGUAGUUGGAUUUCGGGCGUGGGGGUUCGGUCCGCCGUUUCGGUGUGCACUGUCUUUCUGCGUCUUUCUGUCGGGGACGCGCUUCUGGCCUUAAUUGGCUGGGACGUGGAUUCGACGAGGUUACUUUGAAAAAAUUAGAGUGUUCAAAGCAAGCUAAAGCUCUGAAUACAUUAGCAUGGAAUAACGCGAGAGGACUCGGUCCUUAUUUUGUUGGUCUUCAAGGAUGGAGUAAUGAUUAAGAGGGACAGUUGGGGGCAUUCGUAUUUCAUUGCUAGAGGUGAAAUUCUUGGAUUUAUGAAAGACGAACUUCUGCGAAAGCAUUUGCCAAGGAUGUUUUCAUUG